GGGAAUCUUUGCACUACUGUCUAUACGAGUGGUAAACGGUUAAUCUAGACUAGAUUUGGACGGAUUAAAAUAGAUUGAAUCAAUCAGUGAAUCAUUGUCUAAAUUUAUCUAAUAUUUAUUUGGGCUAAAACGAAAUGGAGUAAGAUGAGCUAAAUAAUUGAUCAUAACAUAAUCCUUCCAACUCUUACCAAUUUUUUAUUUCUUUGUUC
This 209-nucleotide long non-coding RNA is filed under the name Solanum tuberosum (potato). Its description in RNAcentral is "long non-coding RNA (STUB_LNC008583)". Lineage: Eukaryota; Viridiplantae; Streptophyta; Magnoliopsida; Solanales; Solanaceae. The record is from RNAcentral.